Molecule: long non-coding RNA, 615 nt
Organism: Brassica napus (rape)
Lineage: Eukaryota; Viridiplantae; Streptophyta; Magnoliopsida; Brassicales; Brassicaceae
Exons: 2
Source: RefSeq, a predicted model, not a curated record
GAUUAUUAUCUUUUAUUUUUUAGUCAAAUAUUGGAUAUACUAUCUAACUAUUGGAGAUCCGUUUUCUUUAUGAAUUAGGAAUCUUUUGGAUAAAUUCUAACUAGUAUAAUAUAAUAUGUAUCACAUUUAUAUAUAAAUAAUACAUUUUUACCAAUGAAACAAUCACUUUCUAUACAUAAGAAAAAUCCUCAUAGACAUGGAGAACACAAAAAUGUUCGUAUUGGUAGCGAUGAUGUUAAUGAUUGGAAACCAUCUAACUGAAUCGGUUUACGCGUCUGAUCCAAUAUCGCGUGCAUUAUGCUUUUUUAAAUGUAAUGAACUGUGUAUUAUUGAUCCAUUUAAUCUUCUAAACGCUAAAAAAUGUGACCUCAAAUGUGCUAAGGAAUGUGGUAUGCCUGGUUAUGUAAAACAAGACACAAUCAACCAAAUUGACUAUUUAUGCCAAGUGGGUUGUGUUAAUCAUCGUUGUGCUCUUACUGAAAAUCAAAAUAUGGGGAAAGCUGCGGGCUGUGUGAAUUCAUGUUCAGAAAUUUGUAAUAAAAAGAACUAAUAGCGAUAGAAUAUGUUAUAUUAUAACAAUUUAAUGUUUAAUGAAGAUAGUAUGAAUCAAAUCAA